This 218-nucleotide ribosomal RNA is filed under the name uncultured bacterium. RNAcentral describes it as "partial 16S ribosomal RNA". It matches the Rfam family "Bacterial small subunit ribosomal RNA", at positions 57 to 305 of the family's 1533-position model. The record is from RNAcentral.
GCAAGUCGAGCGCACCUUCGGGUGAGCGGCGGACGGGUUAGUAACGCGUGGGAACAUACCCUUCUCUACGGAAUAGCCUCGGGAAACUGAGAGUAAUACCGUAUACGCCCUUCGGGGGAAAGAUUUAUCGGAGAAGGAUUGGCCCGCGUUAGAUUAGGUAGUUGGUGGGGUAAUGGCCUACCAAGGCGACGAUCAGUAGCUGGUUUGAGAGGACGACC